AGUGGGGAAUCUUAGACAAUGGGCGCAAGCCUGAUCUAGCGAUGCCGCGUGAGUGAUGAAGGCCUUAGGGUCGUAAAGCCCUUUCGCCUGUGAAGAUAAUGACGGUAGCAGGUAAAGAAACCCCGGCUAACUCCGUGCCAGCAGCCGCGGUAAUACGGAGGGGGUUAGCGUUGUUCGGAAUUACUGGGCGUAAAGCGCACGUAGGCGGACUAGUCAGUCAGAGGUGAAAUCCCAGGGCUCAACCCUGGAACUGCCUUUGAUACUGCUAGUCUUGAGUUCGAGAGAGGUAAGUGGAAUUCCGAGUGUAGAGGUGAAAUUCGUAGAUAUUCGGAGGAACACCAGUGGCGAAGGCGGCUUACUGGCUCGAUACUGACGCUGAGGUGCGAAAGUGUGGGGAGCAAACAGGAUUAGAUACCCUGGUAGUCCACACCGUAAACGAUGAAUGCCAGACGUCGGGUAGCAUGCUAUUCGGUGUCACACCUAACGGAUUAAGCAUUCCGCCUGGGGAGUACGGUCGCAAGAUUA
This 525-nucleotide ribosomal RNA is filed under the name uncultured bacterium. RNAcentral describes it as "bacterial SSU rRNA". It matches the Rfam family "Bacterial small subunit ribosomal RNA", at positions 353 to 896 of the family's 1533-position model. The record is from RNAcentral.